Molecule: long non-coding RNA, 5511 nt
Organism: Caretta caretta (loggerhead turtle)
Lineage: Eukaryota; Metazoa; Chordata; Testudines; Cheloniidae
Source: RefSeq, a predicted model, not a curated record
UCCACACAGCAAGUAUCUUGGUGGAUUUAACUUCUCAUUUGAAUGUGUUGAAUCGGAACCUACAGGGAAAAGAAAUACUCCAAUUUCACUUUUGGAAGUUCUUUCAUUUGAAUGAAAGCUGUCUUUGUUUUCAAGGGACAUUGAGAUGGGUAUGUUAGUGCAUUUCUCAACACUGAAGCAAUUCAAACAAAUGACUGACAUUGACGUUAGGUUCCUUGCAGAAACAGGCAUCAAAAUGCAAGCUGCAUUUGCUGACCAAUUUCAUGAGUUCAGAAGAGAAAAGGCCACUUUGUCAUUUCUGUUGAAACUGCUUGAAGCUGACACUUCUGCAUUGAAUUUUUCAGCAUUUGCGUGAAUCGAUCGAGCACAAUUUGAACUUGAAUUAGCGGACUUGCAAGACAAGGAUUUAUGGAAUUCAAAAUUGAAAGAUUUGUCACUGAACUUGAAACUCUGGAAAGGCAGAAAUCCACUCUGGGGCUACAACACAAGUGGUCUGAAAUGGACAACCUUAAAUGGCAAGAUCAGAUUAUAUUCAACGUUUGGAAUUGUCUACCAGAUACAGUCAGCUGAAGAAGUACUCAUUCGGGCUUCUCUCAAUCUCUGGUUCAAUGUACUACUUUGAACAAGUGUUUUCCAACAUGAAUUUAAUCAAAAACAAACUAAGGAGCCAAGUGCAAGAUGCUAAUCUUGAGUCCUGCUUGAAAAUGAAAUGAUGGCAUAUUCACUGGACAUUGAGCAACUCUCUAAAGAUGUUCAACAGCAGAAAUCGCAUUAAAGGUAUUGGUGUCAUGGGAUUUUUCUGGACUUGACCCAAACCUACCUAGUAUAAUUCUGUUCCAGCUUUGUUAGAAGACCCUCCAUUAUGCAACUGAUUUUUGUUUUGGUCACUGAAACAGAGGGACACUGAAGAACAUGCAUGAGGAUCUUGUUUCUGCAAUUAAUAAAAUAGUCUUCAGAAAGACUGAGUUACUGACAGUAACCUGAGUGAGGAAUUAACCACAAGAACUCAUACCACAAGGACUAGGGGUCACCAAAUGAAAUUAAUAGGCAGCAGGUUUAAAAUAAACAAAAGGAAGCAUUUGCACAGUGCACAGUGAACCCGUGGAACUCUUUGCCAGAGGAUGUUGUGAAGGCCAAGAUUAUAACAGGGUUCAAAAAAGAACUAGAUAAAUUCAUGGAGGAUAGGUCCAUCAAUGGCUGUUAGCCAGGAUGGGCAGGGAUGGUGUUGCUAGCCUCUGUUUGCCAGAAGCUGGGAAUGGGCAACAGGGAAUGGAUAACCUGAUGACUUCCUGUUUCUGUUCAUUUCCUCUGAAGCACCUGACUUUGGCCUCUGUGAGAAGACAGGAUACUGGGUUAGAUGGACCUUUAAUCUGACCCAGUAUGGCUGUUCUUAUGUUCACAAAUAUUAAUGAUGAUUGAAAAAACAUGAAAGCACUAACCUAGGGCAAAGUCUUCACAUUUAAGGACCAUAUUCUUAGCUGGUAGAAAUUGGUGCAUGCUGACUUACGCCAGCUGAGAAUCAGGACCUUAUUGUCUACCUUUAGCACCCAGCACUGAAAAUGUUUAUUAACAUGUUCUUUAUUUCUAUGUAUUCCCAUUGUACAAUAUAUUUCAGGUGAAUGAUUACCCAAAAUAUCAAGAAGAUAGAACUACAGUUUCUUAUUAAUUUUCAUUGCUAAUAUACUAAUAGCCAUGAUUUACAAUACAAGUGCAGAAACUAUAUAAUUUAAUCAGUUAUAGGUUUAACAUGACAUUUUAUUUCCUGACAAUUGAAACCAUGAGACUGUGUAGGUCAGCCUUAUUAUAUGUGGUUUUUCAUGUUAUUUUAAAGACCAUGUUAUAUUUUAAUGUACACACUGUGAGAAUACCUACAAAUAGUUGGAUUCCAAAUCCUUUCAGUAGAAGAUAAAGGUUAUGUUGUGUGUCACUUGAAAGGUAAGUUUCCCUAGCUGUGCAAUAAAUUCUUAGAUUUGACUAAAGAGCUUGAUGUCAUCAUGAUUUGGCCAAUUUUAAUAAUCCUGCUCUUCUAACUAGCAUGGGUACCUGCAUGGCCCCACAGUAUGCCAACAUUUUUAUGGCUGACUUAGAACAAUGCUUCCUCAGCUCUUGUCCCCUAAUGUUCCUACUCUACUUACGCUACACUGAUGACAUCUUCAUAAUAUGGACCCAUGGGAAGGAGGCCCUUGAGGAAUUCCACCAGGAUUUCAACAAUUUCCACCCCACCAUCAACCUCAGCAUGAACCAGUCCACACAAGAGAUCCAUUUCCUAGACACUACAGUGCAAAUAAGAGAUGGUCACAUAAACACCACCCUAUACCGGAAACCACUCACCACUAUACUUAUCUACAUGCCUCCUGCUUUCAUCCAGAGCACAUCAGAUGAUCCAUUGUCUACAGCCAAGCUCUAAGAUACAACCGCAUUUGCUCCAAUCCCUCAGAGACAAACACCUACAUGAUCUCUAUCAUGUGUUCUUAAAACUACAAUACCCACCUGCUGAAGUGAAGAAACACAUUGAAAGAGCCAGAAGGGUACCCAGAAGUCACCUACUACAGGACAGGCCCAACAAAGAAAGCAACAGAAUGCCACUAGCCAUCACCUACAGCCCCCAACUAAAACCUCUCCAAAGCAUCAUUAAGGAUCUACAACCUAUCCUGAAGGACGAUCCGUCACUCUCACAGACCUUGGGAGACAGGCCAGUCCUCGCUUACAGACAGACGCCCAACCUGAAGCAAAUACUCACCAGCAACUACACACCACACAACAAAAACACUAACCCAGGAACCAAACCCUGCAACAAACCCCAGUGCCAACUAUGUCUGCAUAUCUGCCUACCAUCAUAGGACCUAACCACAACAGCCACACCAUCAGGGGUUUUGUUAGGAUAUAGAUUUUCAGGCCUGUUUGCAAAGGCCUGUAUUGUAAGAAUUUAGGUGUAUUCUGAUCACUUGGCUAGUUACAGAGGUAUAAAAGAAAGAAUCAAAAUCACUGUCUGCCAGUGUAAUGUCCUUGUCUUACUGUGACAGUUUGAGGCCCUGUGCUUAGGCUAAGGCCUUUGGCUAAGCAACAGAGGCAGCCAUAAGCUGGGAAGUGAACGGUCACAUCCUCACAUUCCAAACUAGUCACAUUGAAAUAAGGUGCUACUGGGCUGUUAGGAAUAUAAUCCUGUCCUGAUAGUGCCUAUCGCCUCCAGAGAAAGGGAAGUGCCUAGAAAAUGUAAAAGGAAACUUAGUUUGAUAGCAUCCUGUCUGGCAAGAACUCACUUAUCAAUAGCUGGGAUGUGAAAUCCUCACUUCUGUAUUGUUUUGUCAUUAUAGUUCCCACUUUGCUAUUGUUUGUCUGUAUAAUCUCUGUCUGGUUCUGUGAUUGUUCCUGUCUGCUGUAUAAUUAAUUUUGCUGGGUGUAAACUAAUUAAAGUGGUGGGAUAUAAUUGGUUACAUAAUCAUGUUACAAUAUGUUAGGAUUGGUUAGUUAAAUUUCAGGAAAAUGAUUGGUUAAGAUAUAGCAAAGCAGAACUCAAGUUUUACUAUAUAGUCUGCAGUCAAUCAGGAAGUGAGGUUGUGUGUGUGUGUGGGGAAAAUGGGAACAGGGAAUGUGGGUAAGGAAACUGGAAUCAUGUUUUGCUAAAGGGGGAGAUGGGAACAAGGAAUGUGGGUAAGGAAAUUGGAAUCAUGUUUUGCUAAAGGGAGAAAUGGGAACAGGGAAUGGAAGAAAGCAAUUGGAAUCAUGUUUGGCUAAGGGCAGGAAUGGGAACAGGGACACAGGUGUAAGGCUCUGUGGUAUCAGAGCUGGGAAGGAGGAUACUAAGGAAGGAAACUGGAAUCAUGCUUGCUGGAAGUUCACCCCAAUAAACAUCGAAUUGUUUGCACCUUUGGACUUCGGGUAUUGUUGCUCUCUGUUCAUGCGAGAAGGACCAGGGAAGGAAGAGGGUGAAGGAAUAAGCCCCCUAACAGGUUUGUUUACUUGCACAUCCUACCAAUGUGAUAUGUGCCAGCAAUGUCCCUCUGCCAUGUACAUUGGCCAAAGCAGACAGUCUCUUUGAAAAGAAUAAAUGCACACAAAUCAGAGAUCAAAAAUUGUAACAUUCAAAAACCAGUAGGAAAGCAUGACAUUCUCCCUGGACACUCAAUAACAGACUUAAAAGUGGCCAUUCUUCAACAAAAAACCUUCAAAUACAGAUUUCAAUGAGCAACUGCAGAACUGGAAUUAAUUUGCAAACUGGACACCAUCAAAUUAGGCCUGAAUAAAGACUGGGAGUUGAUGGGACACUACAAAAAGUAAUUUUCCCUCUGCUGGUACUCACACCUUCUUGUCAACUGUUGGAAAUGGCCAACAUCCACCUUAAUUGAAUUGACCGCGUUAGCACUGACGCCUGACUUGGUAAGGCAACCCCCCCCAUCUUUUCAUGUGCUGUGUAUAUAUAUAUACACACAUAUAUACACACACACACACACUGCUUACUGUAUUUUUCACUCCAUGAAUCUGAUGAAGUGGGUUUUAGCCCAUGAAAGCUUAUGCCCAAACAAAUUUGUUAGUCUAUAAGGUGCCACAAGGACUCCUCAUUUUUUUUUAAGUUGUCAAACAUUUUCUAAAGGAAAAGCUCUGGUUUUCUGGUUUGGAAUGACUUUUUUUAUUGAAAUUUAAGCUAAAUUAGAUUGAAAGGGGUAAAAAAAAAGUUGAAACUUAAACAAAAUGUUUUGAAACCAUGGAAAGAAUUCAACAAAAAUGGUGGGGAGGGGAUGGGAAUGUGUGUUUUUUCUGUUUCAUAAAUAUUUUUGAGAUUCCAACUUUUCCUCCUGAUUGGAGAUGGCAAAACAAUUACAAACUCUCAGAAAUAUUUGUGGGAUGAGAAAACUGUUUCCCACAUAGUUCUAGUGGUGAGGCUUUAAUUAGUUAAUAUUUGUAAAGUGCUUUGAUAUGCUCUAAGCAAGGAAGGUAGAGCUUACUAUUUUAAAGUCAGUUUAUCUGCAUAUGCAUUUUUGUUGUAUUAGCUAAUUAACAAAUAAGAACAUUCAUCUGAUAUAUAGUUUAUUUCCCUAGAUUGCUAGAGUAUGUUAAUCCCACGCUAUCUUUGAAGUCAAAGAAAUUACACCUACUUAUGCCAUUGUAAAUUUUGCAGUUACAAUUCAGCUGUAUAUCACAAUCUUAUUCACUCACUGUCACCAGCAGUCACUUCCUGUCCCUUCAUCACCAAAGCCAAAACUUUUGUGCAGACCCUCAUCAUGUCCCCCUUUACUACUUUGACACUCAGGUUCACUCUUCUUCCAUUCAAAAUGGAGCAUUGAUGGUCAACUUUCUUUACUAUUAUUCUGAUCCUCAGCUCUGAUGGCACAAGUGAACAUUGGUAAAGGAGUUUUUAUUACUGGGAAGGGCCACACUUUCAUAUAUUAUCAAAUUAUAAUUGGUAAAUAUACCAUCUGCAUUUGAUGAAAACUAAAAAAGUAAAAUUGUAAACUGAGGACAGAUUAAUGUGAAAUUACUAUUGGACAUAAUACCUUCAUUUGUCAAUUAAGA